GCCAGUUAGUUCAGUUGGUUAGAGCAUGGUGCUGAUAACCCCAAGGUUGCAGGUUCAAUCCCUGUAUAGAACA
Molecule: non-coding RNA, 73 nt
Organism: Podarcis lilfordi (Lilford's wall lizard)
Lineage: Eukaryota; Metazoa; Chordata; Lepidosauria; Squamata; Lacertidae
Source: the annotation of a GenBank genome assembly